This 468-nucleotide ribosomal RNA is filed under the name uncultured bacterium. Its description in RNAcentral is "bacterial SSU rRNA". It matches the Rfam family "Bacterial small subunit ribosomal RNA", at positions 335 to 795 of the family's 1533-position model. The record is from RNAcentral.
ACUCCUACGGGAGGCAGCAGUGGGGAAUUUUGGACAAUGGGGGCAACCCUGAUCCAGCCAUUCCGCGUGAGUGAAGAAGGCCUUCGGGUUGUAAAGCUCUUUCAGCUGGAACGAAACGGUGCGCUCUAACAUAGCGCGCUAAUGACGGUACCGGCAGAAGAAGCACCGGCUAACUACGUGCCAGCAGCCGCGGUAAUACGUAGGGUGCGAGCGUUAAUCGGAAUUACUGGGCGUAAAGCGUGCGCAGGCGGAUUGUUAAGCAAGGCGUGAAAUCCCCGGGCUCAACCUGGGAAUGGCGUUUUGAACUGGCAGUCUAGAGUGCGUCAGAGGGGGGUGGAAUUCCACGUGUAGCAGUGAAAUGCGUAGAGAUGUGGAGGAACACCGAUGGCGAAGGCAGCCCCCUGGGAUGACACUGACGCUCAUGUACGAAAGCGUUGGUAGCAAACAGGAUUAGAUACCCUGGUAGUC